GCUAUAGCUUGGAGCCUUUCCUUGUGCAACUCUGCUUCCGCCAUCCUGGAGAGAAGGACACGGGAGGAGAGAGGGAAACGGGUGGGGGAGGAAAAAAAAAAAAAAAAAAAAAAAAAAAAAAGAGUCAAGGCAAACAAAACCGGAGCACACACUGCAGUCACCCGGGGGGAACCGGAGUAAUUGCAAAGAAAGCCGAGCUCCUGUGUAGUAGUCAGCCACUUUUGGAGGCACUGCAGGCUGGCUCACGUUUUACCACUUGCUAUCAAGACAUGGAGUUGAAGCACACACAGCAGGAGAUGGCAUUGUUUAAGAAAUAAAAAGCUAGACCACACGGCUUUGUUUUAAACCUUCCCAAGACAGCAGGCUUAUGAAUAGGUAUUUCCAUUUGAUGAAGUCUGGUGACUUCUGUACUUGCCCAGUCUGCUAUGGGACAUGAGUCCCAUCGCUCAUGAGCAGCUUUACAAGCUCCAG
This is a long non-coding RNA of Tyto alba (common barn owl), 471 nucleotides long. RefSeq lists it as uncharacterized. The transcript is spliced from 3 exons. The record is from RefSeq and is a predicted model, not a curated record. Lineage: Eukaryota; Metazoa; Chordata; Aves; Strigiformes; Tytonidae.